CACAAAUGGAAAAAAAUGUGUCAGCAGGC
This 29-nucleotide non-coding RNA is filed under the name Mus musculus (house mouse). RNAcentral also lists the same sequence under 1 other name. Lineage: Eukaryota; Metazoa; Chordata; Mammalia; Rodentia; Muridae. The record is from RNAcentral.